Long non-coding RNA from Helianthus annuus (common sunflower), 806 nucleotides. RefSeq lists it as uncharacterized. NCBI's taxonomy places the organism in Eukaryota, Viridiplantae, Streptophyta, Magnoliopsida, Asterales, Asteraceae. The record is from RefSeq and is a predicted model, not a curated record. The transcript is spliced from 2 exons.
ACCUCAUCACCAUCACACAUACACAUUUUUGUUUUUGAAAAGAUACAGAAAGUAUGAUAAGAGAGAGACACAGAACACGCUUUAGAUGGAGAGAGAAAGACCUACAAAUAGAGAGAGUGCCGUCGUACCUCCUUCUUGUGCCGCCAUUGACUUCCAUCGGCCACCCUUCAGAACCACCUCCAACAACACGGCGCAGGACUCUUCUGGUCAUCCUCCACCUCCAAAAGAGACAUAGAUAGACUAGGAGAUUGAAACGGGAGAAAGAGAGAUUUGGAAGACGGGGAGAGAUCUGAACCUGGCGAGUCUCCGGUGACCGGCCCUGCGCGUCCUUGCCUCUCAUCCACAAAAUCCAAGUUGUAGAAAUCGUUGGUUUAGUCAGACGGUGGCUCUGGACAGUUCAACAAUUUUGGGUGGGUCCCUCCCAUUUCCGGCAAAGAUGGUAAUAACCGCAACCUUAUUUUUUUCCGGGUUUUCUUAUCAAAGACCCUUUGAUUUGGUGUGUUUUGGUGCCGAUCGGAAGCAAGUUCUGCCGAAAUAUUAAAAUUUUGACGAAGGUUUGGUUGACCGGGGAAUUGGCUGCACCGGAUGAGAAUGAUAAAUUCUAAUUGUUUCUUUGAUUUCAGUUUUAACAAAUAGUUUCCGGUUCCCGGAGGUGAACCUCCGUCACUCUAACCGAAGAUUUAGUGGUCGUGUAAUCCUUUCUCCGAUCUGACUAAUUAAUCACAGGUCGAUUGUUUGAUUGGUUGUACUCAAUUUCAUCAUGUAAUUAGUUUGAUUGAUGAUAUAUGUUUGUGUGAUCUCGAUUA